AACUUUCGGCUAUGGAUCACUUGGCUCUCGCAUCGAUGAAGAACGCAGCGAAAUGCGAUAAGUAAUGUGAAUUGCAGAAUUCAGUGAAUCAUCGAAUCUUUGAACGCACCUUGCGCCCUUUGGCUAUUCUGAAGGGCAUGCCUGUUUGAGUAUCAUGAACACCUCAACUCUCAUGGUCCGCCAUGAUGAGCUUGGACUUUGGGGGUCUUGCCGGCCCAGUGUCGGCUCCUCUCAAAUGGAUCAGCUUGCCAGUGUUUGGUGGCGUCACAGGUGUGAUAACUAUCUACGCUUGUGGUUUUCUGCCAUAUAACCUUCAGUGAUGGAGGUUCUCUGGAGCUCACAGAUGUCUCUCCUUGGGGAGGACAGCUUUUGAACGUUUGAUCUCAAAUCAGGUAGGACUACCCGCUGAACUUAAGCAUAUCAAUAAGCGGAGGCU
This 436-nucleotide unclassified non-coding RNA is filed under the name uncultured Tomentella. Its description in RNAcentral is "sequence contains ITS2". The stretch from base 1 to 155 matches the Rfam family "5.8S ribosomal RNA". The record is from RNAcentral. Lineage: Eukaryota; Fungi; Basidiomycota; Agaricomycetes; Thelephorales; Thelephoraceae.